Molecule: long non-coding RNA, 4699 nt
Organism: Homo sapiens (human)
Lineage: Eukaryota; Metazoa; Chordata; Mammalia; Primates; Hominidae
Exons: 3
Source: RefSeq, a predicted model, not a curated record
GUGGCAAAAACAUACAAAAGGAGUAAAGGGGAUCUUUGCCUGCUCAUAUUUGUGAAAACCAAGAACAGAAUAUAGAAAUGCCCAAAGAGCAUGUUUGAAUACAUCUCUUUGUAAAACAUGACAGAAAGGAGUGAUUAUUUAAAUUGGACAGGACUUUGCAUUCCUGGCUCCUUGGUGGCAGUGCCUUUUGUCUGAACUCUUUUACUAGAAAAAUGUCACAAAGGAUAAAAAAUGAGUCCAAUAAGUUUUAUUCAAUUUCAGAGUCUAUUAUAUAUUCUGUUUUACACAAAGCAUAUAAUUUUAAAUUUCAUAGAUAGGCACACUGAACAUACACUUGGUAGAUAUACAGCUAUUUGUACGAGUGAAAUUGAAACCCUCCAGGGAGGGUACAUUAAUAAUUCCUUACUUGUAAGACAGAACAGCCAUCUCAUAUUCCAAACAAAGCCCGGCCAGCACAGAAGUGAUUCAUGGUCAUUUAUGAAAACUGAUUACCAAUCACCAGAUUGUAAAGCCAUGGCAACAUUUAUUUUUCAAUCUCAUAAACAAUAAAGCUCCUUUUUGUUAAACACAUGAGGGACCUCUUUCCCAUGGAGGAGUUAGUAAAUGCAAAAGCUAAUUUUCCACAUCUGACAGCAUUCAUGAAAGCUGAUGAAUACAUGUAUGAUAAACACAUAUUUCAGUAGAAAGAAAAAUUAAUGUGUAUAUACCUACAUAGCGUUUUCUUUCACUGGGGUGUUGAUCUGAGAGUAGCGGUCAGGGGAACCUGAAUCUUUUAUUUUAGUGCCUCAAAGGCAAACAUUUUCCUAAUUGGACAGUUUAAAAUAUUCAGUUCAUUAAUCCUAGAUAAAAGCCAUAUUCAUAUUUAGCUUAAAUGGUUCUUUUCAACAAGAUAUAUUAAAAUUGUAGUUUCUUUAUUUAAUAAUGAGAAACAAGAGAUCACAAUAAUGUCUGAUUUGUAGCUUAUUCUCGAUACUUGGUAAAGACAUUAGACAAACCAUUUAUGAAUUUUCUGUCAACAAAGUGUCCUAAGGUACCACCAGGAAGAACCAGCAUGGUUUUGUGACCCACAGGUCCUGCUGGGGCUGCUUUUUCCUAUUCCAGUGGUUGAAAGCCAGGCCAAGUGGACACAAAAAGUAGCAAGGUCAUUCUCUGCUUGGCCUUCACUUGUUGUGUCAAUGUCUGUUAUGUGUCCCAGGGAGACAGUAACUUCUCCAAGGUCAGCCUGAAAGCCUGGAAGUCUUCUCCCCCAUCCUGUAGCCAAAAGUGGUGGUGAAGGGAUAUGAAAUCCAACACUGAGUGAAGGGGUAGGAAGAGGGUGGGGGGAUGGAGGAACACAGGCAAAUCAAUUUCCCGUGAUGUGCAUAAUUGGUCUUACACUUGGAAGUGCUUCUGAAAACAUUUUCAUUCAGAGUGAGCUGAAGAAGUUUAAGAAAUAAGCAGUCCUAAAUCAGAUGAUAGGUUGGGCCAUUUUCAAGGGUCAUGUGGCCAGAGCUGAGCAAGUUGAAAUUUUGCUGGCAGAAGUCCAUUGGUAUUUUUGGACCCCUGUAGGAAGAAUAGGUAAAUGUAGAUUUUAGGCAAUGUGGCUUCUCCUGAUGUAACUCUUGAGUUUGACUUUGAAGCACUGGGCCCGGACUUAGUCUUUCCAGAGCCUUAGGACCCCCAUGUCUAGGUAUUCAUUAGAAGAGGCGAAUCCAUGUCCAGUCUUUGGCUCCUGCCUUGUUACAUCUCUUCCUUGUCCUUUGGCCAAGCUCUGCUCCAGGCUUGAGCCUUUUUUAUUUCUAUAACACAGUUUGAUUCACUGUUGUUGAAAAUCUUGAAUGGUGGCAUCAUUAAUAAUACAUUCAUUACCUCAGUCAAAAAUGGCCAGCGUUCUGCCUUCUUAUCUGCUUCCUUGAGCAUUUUAUUGCCAAACCAUGAAAAGAAGUGGAGUUGUGGGGGCAAAAGUAGUUCAAAACUUCCAGUCCAGUUCUGGCCGCAAGAACAAUCUUUAAUUCUUGUUUUGCACCAAAUAUACUAUCCCUUCUGGGUCUGUUCUAAGCUGUGUAAGCAGAUAAUUUCCAGUUUUUCAAUGGCAUUUUUAAUAGUUACCUUCUGGAAUUCAGCUUUCAAGGGAUUUCCUGAUAAGAGCUAUGUAAUCAGGAUGGAAUCUCUUAUUAAAAGGAUUUUCCUUUUCCAAAUCUUGAAAAAAGUCUGUUUCUCUCUUCUCAAAUUAUCAGGCAAUCUAUCAAUAAUUGAAGGUGAGAUUGAAACUAUGACCUUGGCAGGUAGUGCAGAAGAUUUGCUGAAGUUGUUUAAUAGUGUGAGCUAUUUUUUAGAUUACGGAGUGUUUUUAAACUAUAUUAAAAGUAAACUUCUUUUCACACUCUUCAGGGGCCUGGGAACAGGUUCAUUUGUUCAACAAACAUGUCACUUAUUCAACAAUCAGUACUAUGAAAGUAGAGGAAAAGAGUGAAUUGAGGAAGUUUCCAGUUGCCCUUCACACUGACUCUCCUUGGCACGUUGCUGCUGAUGGGUCCAUCCUUGGCCUACUUACCAUGGUGUCGCACAGUUAUGAGGACAGUUCUAAGUCUGUCUCUGGAUAAAUGAUGUACCAGGCCCUAGUGCAUACAGACCUUCACCUGAAUCACAGGGGGUAUGUUAAAAUGGCUGCAAGCCAGAUACACAGUCAGUAUCUAAAUGGAAGGACUGGAAAUCUGUGUUUCCACAAGCUCCCCAGGUGAUUCUCAGGCUAACUAAAGUCUGAGAAUUAAAGCAUCAGAAAUUGUGCCUAGAAGCCUGCCUUUGUAAGUUAAUAGAAUGAUCUUGGAUGAUCUAUUUAACCCCUCAGUACCUCAGUUUCCUCAUCUGUAAAAUGGCAGAUAAUAACAGUGUCUACCUCAUGGGAAUAGUUUUAAGGAUUAUGUAGUUAUUAAUUAAAAGAUGUUAAAUGCUUAGACCAGUGCUUAGAGGUGCUAUGUAACUGUUUUCAAUUAUUAUCACCAUUAGUUCUAGGAUUGCUUAUAGCUGGACACUCAGCCUGUACGGCUUUCCCUAUGAACCUUCAGCUGUGCCCAGUUUCAGGGCUCAGCAGGGUGUCUGAAGGCAAGGUCUCUUGUCUUGUGCUUAAUUGGGAGAGGAUGAGCAGGGGGCAUAUUGUGAAGCAAGGGGGCUCAGAGAGCUCUGGGCAGUAGACGUGGUGAUUGAGGCCAACUUUCGUUUAAGUCUCAAUACUGCCCCCUCGUGGCAGUAUAAACUAAGGCCGGAGCCUAUUUCCGUUACCUGUUAGACGGAAGUGAAAAAAUUAAUGGCUACUCCCUUUCAUCUCUUCAAUUUUGCCUUUUUUUUAACGAAUCGUUAAAAUAGGGACAUUUCCUGUUAACUUGACUUUGGUAUUGUGUUCUCUGACCCAAAAUUGGGAAACCACGCUGAAGGGUGAUUCCACAAUGAGCUGGUCAAUCUUGGCUAUCACCUUCCUCCAAGUUAUAUUGUGGGAGGCUAAGUAAAGAAUUAGGAGAGAAUGGAGAGGCGGAGAGUUCUUUGGAGAUAGAGUGUUAGUGUGCAGAACGUUCCCUCCUGUCCUGUCUUCUGCCCCUUCCUCCUCUCAAAGCUGAGUGGGAAGGGGCUUCACACAAAGAUCAGGAAAGCUUGACGUAUGGCUAGUGAACUUUAGGAGGGAGAGGUACUGGGAUGUGGCUCAACCAGAGAAAAUCCCAGGCCCAUAGCUACAUGAAGACUGGUCUCUGUCCUCAAGUUGCUUACAGUUUGCAGGUGCUACACCAAUGGGUAUCAUUUGUAUCUCACAUAGGCCCUUCGUGGCCUUCCUCCUGAGGCUUCCUGACUUCCCACAGCUGCCCUGCUUUGUUCCCCGACACACCAGGACACAGCAGCCGGCAGGAGCCAGAGACCAAUCAGUAUUUGAUAAAGAUAAAUCUGUGCUCAGAACUGGAACAGAUGUUUAGCCAAUUAGGAAAUGAAACCCUCUGUUGAAGUAGUUCUGCUUCCAUCUGAGGACUUUGGAUUGAGCUGUUAAAAGGACUCAUUUCUUCAAAAAUGCUUUGCAGAAUCUAUCAAAGCAAGGUAAGAGGUUAGGUCAUUUGCUCUAGAUAACUCAGUUACAAUGUGGCUUCAACACAAUUACCAUUCACAGAUGUAUAACAUCACAAAAUCUGAAUGUUCUAGAAUGGAAGGGACCUUAAGGCUGUUUUUCACACCUAGUGCAAAAAUUCCUCUGCAACCUGGUUACUCAGAGUGUGGUACCUGGACAGCCUCAGCGUUAUCUGGGAGCAUUCUAGGAAUGCAGAAUACCAGCCCCCACCCUAGACCUGCUGAUUCAGAUCUCACAUUUUAAUAAGAUGCAAAGGUGAUUCACACACACAUAAAAGUGUGAGAAACACCAUUCUACAAUAUCCCUGAUCAAUGAACAGCGUGUCUUAGUUUAAACACAUGCAGGCAAGGACGUAGUUUGCUCAAUUGCAGGGUGUUCUAUUUGGGGAUACCUAUAAACAUCACAAUGCACAUUUUUAUAAUAAUAAAUCUAGUGAAUAUUUAUUGACCUUGGACCAUGUGACCUCUUCUCAAAGCUCAACAAGUAUAUGUUGCCUCAUUUAAUCCUCACAACAGCUAUUUGAGGUAAAUACUAUUUGUUUUCACUCAAUCCCCACAACAAAUAUAUGAGGGGCUAUUCUCUUCUUUCUCAUUUUAUGAAUGAGAAAGCUGAGGC